This is a small nuclear RNA of Zalophus californianus (California sea lion), 107 nucleotides long. The record is from Ensembl. Lineage: Eukaryota; Metazoa; Chordata; Mammalia; Carnivora; Otariidae.
GUGCUCAUUUCGGGAGCACAUAUACUAAAAUUAGAACAAUACAGAGAAGAUUAGCAUAGCCCCUGUGCAAGGAUGACAUGCAAAUUCAUGAAGCAUUCCAUAUUUUA